GGUUCGAUUCUGACUCAGAUUGAACGCUGGCGGGAUGCUUUACACAUGCAAGUCGAACGGCACGGACACGGUCUGGUGGCGAGUGGCGAACGGGUGAGUAAUGUAUCGGAACGUGCCUAGUAGCGGGGAUAACUACGCGAAAGCGUAGCUAAUGCCGCAUACGCCCUUCGGGGAAAGCGGGGGUCUUCGGGCCUCGCACUAUUAAGAGCAGCCGAUAUCGGAUUAGCUAGUUGGUGGGGUAACGGCUCACCAAGGCGACGAUCCGUAGCUGGUUUGAGAGGACGACCAGCCGCUGGGACUGAGACACGGCCGGAGCUCCUGCAGGAGGUACGCGAUAGGGGAGUACGGACAAUGGAAACCCUGAUCCGGCGCCAUCCGCAUCGUGCGAUGAACCUUCGAGGUUGUAAGCUGCCACCUUGGCAGAGAGGAAAGAAACUUAACUUCAGGAUAAUACGUACAGCAGCGUACCUGCAGAAUAGCACCAGCUAACUACACGUGCCAGCAGCCGCGGUAAUACGUAGAGAUUGCAGCGUUAAUCAGAUUACUGGGCGUAAAGCGAUGCGCAGGCGGUUCGGAAAGAAGAUGUGAAAUCCCAGAGCUUAACUUUGGAACUGCAUUUUUAACUACCGAGCUAGAGUGUGUCAGAGGAGGUGGAAUUCCCGCGUAUUAGCAGUGAAAUGCACGUAGAUAUGCAGAGGAGCGCAUUCUCAGCGAAGGCAACCUCCUGGGAUAACACUGACGCUCGCCGCGAAAGCGUGGGAGCGAGCAAGUUCGAUUGCCUGGUAGUCCACGCCCUAAACGAUGUCAACUAGCUGUUGGGGCCUUCGGGCCUUGGUAGCGCAGCUAACGCGUAAAGUUGACCGCCUGGGAAAUUACGGUCGCAAAGAUUAAAACUCAAAGAUGACGGGGACCACUGGCAGUGGAUGAUGGCAUGGAUCAAUAAUUCGAUGCAACGCGAAAAACCUUACCUACCCUUGACAUGUCUGGAAUCCCGAAGAGAUUUGGGAGUGCUCCGCAAGAGAACCGGAACGGGUGCUGCAUGGCUGUCGUCAGCUCGUGUCGUGAGAUGUUGGGUUAAGUCCGCAACGGAAACAACCAUAUCCAUUAGUUGCUACGAAGGACACUCUAAUGAGACCGCCGGUGACAAACCGGAGGAAGGUGGGGAUGACGUCAAGUCCUCACUUCGGCCCUUAUGGGUGGGGCUUCACGUCAUACAAUGGUCAGGACAGAGGGUGCGCCAACCCGCGAGGGCAAUCCCAGAAACCCCGAUCGUAGUCCGGAUCGCAGUCUGCAACUCGACUGCGUGGAAAUUCAGAAUCGCUGGUAAUCGCGGAUCAGCAUGUCGCGGUGAAUACGUUCCCGGGUCUUGUACACCGCCCGUCUCACACCAUGGGGUGGUUUUACCAAGUAGUUAGCCUAACCGUAAGGAGGGCGAUUACCACGGUAGGAUUCAUGACUGGGGUGAAGUCGUAGCUAAAGGUAG
Molecule: ribosomal RNA, 1483 nt
Filed under: uncultured Bordetella sp.
Lineage: Bacteria; Pseudomonadati; Pseudomonadota; Betaproteobacteria; Burkholderiales; Alcaligenaceae
Description: partial 16S-23S ribosomal RNA intergenic spacer
Rfam family: Bacterial small subunit ribosomal RNA
Source: RNAcentral